GGAAUCUUGGACAAUGGGGGCAACCCUGAUCCAGCGACGCCGCGUGGGUGAUGAAGGCCUUCGGGUUGUAAAGCCCUUUCGACGGGGACGAUGAUGACGGUACCCGGCGAAGAAGCACAGGCUAACUCCGUGCCAGCAGCCGCGGUAAGACGGAGGGUGCUAGCGUUGUUCGGAAUCACUGGGCGUAAAGGGCGCGUAGGCGGCUUUGGCAGUCGGCUCGUGAAAGCCCGGGGCUCAACCCCGGAGGUGCGGCCGAUACACCGAGGCUUGAGGCCGGAAGAGGAGGGUGGAAUACCCAGUGUAGAGGUGAAAUUCGUAGAUAUCGGGAGGAACACCAGUGGCGAAGGCGGCUCUCUGGACCAAGACUGACGCUGAGGCGCGAAAGCGUGGGGAGCAAAC
This 399-nucleotide ribosomal RNA is filed under the name uncultured bacterium. RNAcentral's name for it is "bacterial SSU rRNA". It matches the Rfam family "Bacterial small subunit ribosomal RNA", at positions 358 to 773 of the family's 1533-position model. The record is from RNAcentral.